CAGGUAGUGCAUCCAGCUCCAGCUGCAGUUAAUCUGUCACACUGACCAAACGGAACAUGACGCCGACAAGGUGGAUGUGCGCUGAUCUGGUGUCUGGCAUGGCUUGCCAUAGUAUACGACAAACCGGAACUCCACCCAAGUAUAUCACCCGACGAAAAGUCUUACAUUUUUCAACACAGGACCAAUGUGGACAAUGAUCGUAAGACGGCAUGACGGGCGUUCUAUCGGGGACCUCGACCAGCCUUCUAGAUAUGAAGCAGUGAUCAAUGGGCUUUUAUGCACAGCACUGUGACCUCGGUGGUAUUUGUUGAAAACUUUACAUGCUCGACAUAUUUAGCGAAACUAAGUUAUGCUAAGAGGGACGUGCCAGGGUGAUCAGCUGAGAGCAUUGGUAUUGACUGUGAAGGAUUCCACCCUCGACACAGCGAACCAGUGAGCAAAUCUAAUCAGCCUUGGGAAAGGGAUCAGAAAUAAUCAAAUAAACUUUAAGAGACAGAGAUCUGUAUUUGGUGCGAUUCCGAGGACAAAUACUAGAAUACUAAUGAAGAAAUCCAAGACCGCCACUGUUAAUUUGUACAUUUAGCGAGGGAAAGGUGUCAGCGUAAAAGAGAAAAUCAAAUAGCCCGGAAUAAGUCGGCCAGUGACAAGAGAUGGAUGCCGAACAAA
Molecule: long non-coding RNA, 666 nt
Organism: Haliotis rufescens (red abalone)
Lineage: Eukaryota; Metazoa; Mollusca; Gastropoda; Lepetellida; Haliotidae
Exons: 3
Source: RefSeq, a predicted model, not a curated record